This 616-nucleotide long non-coding RNA is filed under the name Oryza brachyantha (malo sina). Its description in RNAcentral is "long non-coding RNA (OBRA_LNC003443)". The record is from RNAcentral. Lineage: Eukaryota; Viridiplantae; Streptophyta; Magnoliopsida; Poales; Poaceae.
CAGAUUAGAUCCGAUACGUGAAACCGUGAAUUGUUGGCGGAACAACGGCAGGAGUUAACGACCCGUUAAAUUGAGAUUUAACGACUCGCUAAACUUGAAUUAGACGACUUUAACGUUAAACCAAUCUACAUGUACGAAAUUGAAUUUCAUACUGUAGAUCAAUCUCGCGUUAGCUAAUUAGAUUAGAAAAUCUAACCAAUUACACGAUAGAUCAAUAACAGAUUGAUUCGCAUGAGUAAAACGUCUGCGAACCUGAUAUUUGGUGGAGAGAGACCAGCCGGCGACGUGCUGCGAACNNNNNNNNNNNNNNNNNNNNNNNNNNNUGCAGCUGCUGGGAUAGGGGCGGCACAGCUGUAGCGGAGGCGGAAGAGGCGACUGGAGAUGCACGGGAGAGGGAGACGGGGAAAAGAGGCAAGGGUGUAGGGGGUAUUUAUAGGGGGAAGCUAGAGAUAGAUCUUGUUAUCCAUCCCCUAUUAACAAGGAAUAGAUAAGGUUUCAAAGAGAUAAGAUUUAGAAUGCUAACUAAUUGGAAUUGAUUUUUUUGGUGGAGUCAGAGAUGGGGCUUCAUGGCUUGGAGAGGAGGAGGAGAGGAUCGUACAAUCCAGGGAGGAGGAGG